UACGGAGGUGGCAAGCGUUGUUCGGAAUUACUGGGCGUAAAGGGCGCGUAGGCGGCCUGACAAGUCAGAUGUGAAAGCCCCGGGCUUAACUCGGGAAUUGCAUCUGAAACUGUUGGGCUUGAGUCCUGGAGGGGAUGGUGGAAUUCCCAGUGUAGCGGUGAAAUGCGUAGAUAUUGGGAGGAACACCUGCGGCGAAGGCGGCCAUCUGGACAGUGACUGACGCUGAGGCGCGAAAGCUAGGGGAG
This 245-nucleotide ribosomal RNA is filed under the name uncultured bacterium. Its description in RNAcentral is "partial 16S ribosomal RNA". It matches the Rfam family "Bacterial small subunit ribosomal RNA", at positions 524 to 768 of the family's 1533-position model. The record is from RNAcentral.